AGUGAACGCUGGCGGUAGGCCUAACACAUGCAAGUCGAACGGCAGCACAGUAAGAGCUUGCUCUUACGGGUGGCGAGUGGCGGACGGGUGAGGAAUACAUCGGAAUCUACUUUUUCGUGGGGGAUAACGUAGGGAAACUUACGCUAAUACCGCAUACGACCUACGGGUGAAAGCAGGGGAUCUUCGGACCUUGCGCGAUUGAAUGAGCCGAUGUCGGAUUAGCUAGUUGGCGGGGUAAAGGCCCACCAAGGCGACGAUCCGUAGCUGGUCUGAGAGGAUGAUCAGCCACACUGGAACUGAGACACGGUCCAGACUCCUACGGGAGGCAGCAGUGGAGAAUAUUGGACAAUGGACGCAAGCCUGAUCCAGCCAUACCGCGUGGGUGAAGAAGGCCUUCGGGUUGUAGAGCCCUUUUGUUGGGAAAGAAAAGCAGCAGGUUAAUACCCCGCUGUUCUGACGGUACCCAAAGAAUAAGCACCGGCUAACUUCGUG
RNAcentral lists this ribosomal RNA (492 nucleotides) under uncultured bacterium. RNAcentral's name for it is "partial 16S ribosomal RNA". It matches the Rfam family "Bacterial small subunit ribosomal RNA", at positions 29 to 507 of the family's 1533-position model. The record is from RNAcentral.